Long non-coding RNA from Petromyzon marinus (sea lamprey), 5512 nucleotides. RefSeq lists it as uncharacterized. NCBI's taxonomy places the organism in Eukaryota, Metazoa, Chordata, Hyperoartia, Petromyzontiformes, Petromyzontidae. The record is from RefSeq and is a predicted model, not a curated record.
UAACCCAGCAAAUUUGCACCGUUGGGCCAACAUUGGCAUGUGAUUGAAACCGUUGGACCAUCGCUGGCUCAGCUUUGGCCCAACGUUCCAGGGAUGUCGAGCCCCCCUAUUCGCCAGGGGGCAAUAGUGAGCCGGUGUCGUUACAACGGAGACCGCUCACAAACGCCGCUACCAUGGACAGCGCCCAGACGCGGGCAGGCCCCAUUCGUUGUCGAAUCCUGCACCUCAGUACAUCAUCUAGUCGUCGUUAUUUCUUUAUUCACCAGGCGACGUUUCGUUGACGCUCACGACGAUUAACCCAAACGUAUUCCAUAUGUAGUGCUGCGUUAAACCAAAAUGACCAAUACCACCGGCUCCCUGCUCAAAACUGCAUUGGCUGCAGGGGGUGUAUGGCUGCUCCUCUGGGAUGGCGUUGCUGAGCCACUGGUGACAAGUUCAGGUUCAUAUGACGGAGCCAGUAUCUUCAAUACGUGCUGCGGUUAAUUUACAAUUUGCUGUAUUCCUGACAUUGGCUGAAGUUUAUAAGCAUCCAGAAUUGAAAAGCGAUUGGGCUGCCGGGCUUACUCUCCGUGAUCGGGUGAGGAGCUCGGUAAUCUGGGAGAGCCUCAGAAUCGAGUUGUUGCUCCUCCGGUUCGAGAGGAGCCAGUUGAAGUGGUUCGGGCACCUGGUAAGGAUUUCCCCCUGUAGACUCCUCCUGGAACAUUACCGGGAAUGUCCCACCGGGAGAAGAUGCCGGGGCCGGCCCAGGACAUGCUGGUGGGGCUAUGUCGUUCAGCAGGCCUGGGAACGCCUGGGAAUUCUCCAGGAAGAGCUGGCGUCUGUCACCAGGGAAAGGAGGUGUGGACUGCCCUACUCAACAUGCUGACGCCACGACCCUCACCAGGACAUCCGGACUGGGAAACGAACGAACAUUGUGUUGCAAAUUAAUUUAAUACUGCCCCGGCCCUCCGCUGGCAAUCCUGCAGGGCACGCGGGUGUCACCGCUUGGACACGCGGCGCCGCGUCACGCGCGGCGUGCGCUGCACGCGCCCAGCACGCACCACGCCCAGCGGCGGAGAAGGCGAGGAGGGUGAGGAGGCGGGGAGACACUGACGGAGGCCGGGCUAUGGUUAGGGAUGGGCCUACGGGUAGGGCAGGGGUCUUCUCAAGACUGCUUCGUGACGUGAGUUAUGAAGAGCCAACGUCUCGUAUUCAGCACGUGCAUUGCGGCGCUUAAAAAAAAAUUGUUUUAACUGAAUCUGGAAAAAAAUGUCUCUUCUUGUUAUUUUGUUUGCCGACCCCUGGGCUAGGGCUCUGGAUGGGGCUAGAGGGGUAGGCCUGUGGAUAGGGCUAGGGUCAUGGUCUGAUUUGCUUAUGUGACCGGUGUAGUGUGGUUAGCGUUGCAAGUCUGGUUGGCUCGUGUUUGUUAGGGUGAGAGACAAGAGUUAGGUCAGAUCGACUAGUGUGGUCAGUGUUCCGGUAAUGGAUAGGGUCAAACUUUUCCAGUGUUAUUAUGGUAAGGGAUAUGCCUAUAAGGUCUGGUUAGUGCGGUUAGGGUCAGUGCGUAUGGCUGCCGUCUGAUUGGCUAGUACUGAUGAUUGGCAAUGUUCUCGGCCUUGGUCAAAAAUCCGAAGCCAAAAAGACCGACAAAAUGCUACCUUUAGAGUCUCUUCUCGCUGGGAAUGCAUCCACAGUUUCAACACUGCUAACGCUCAUUGAUGUUUCCGCUGCAAUUAAUUGUAAAUGGCACGUACGGCGAGCAGCGAGAUCCAGGCUUUCCACUCGCUUAAUAUUGGCAUCCGUAAAAAUCACAAAAAAGCACUCGGCUCUGACCGGCGGUACCCAAUAUCCAGCACACCGUCGUUGAACGUGUCGCACACCAAUCAGGCACUGCCGAUUGUCUGAACUGCGUCCAAACUGUGAAUCCCGGCUGGCUCGUUGCCUUUUACGAGCAAGCAAUAUCACCGCAUCUGCUCUCCAUUCCGCGAUUGGGGCAACCCCUCGCCACUCGUCAUCCUUUCCCACACGCGACGUCGGUGCUCCAAGGAACCUCUGCCGCCCUGUGCCACUUCUCUCGAAUGCCCUUGUGCGCCAGUUAUCACUCCAGCUUUCAGGACGCAUCAACUACCAAGGUGCCUCGUGUGGCUCAUCGCCCCACUCUGUCGCAAGAUCUCCGCGAGGACGCAGCGUGGAGGCGUUUCACUGCUCUCUGGAAAACCACACCACCACCGCCGUUCACGGGCAGGCGGGACGCGGGCAGAGAUCGGCAUGCCUGCUUGUAUGAAUGCGCUUAUUGGUCCUUACAUAAUCACCGCCUAAACUGCGCAUGAUGAAAUAUGAAUUCCAAUUGCACAAUACAAUAAGAGAACACAUUGCAUGUGCGGUGUCUGCAGAUGGGUGUCAUAAAAACCGCACGGAAUUACAUUUGUCGGUAUUAAUUCACACAUUUGUAGCAUUUGAUAAUGAUAACAAUAACAUUGGUCUUUUUAUUUGCCCUUAAAUUUAUUCUGAAGGAAUGCCUGGCUCCCACCAUGGGAAUAUGGAAUUUUCAUCAACAACUCAAUGUUAAACAACAGAUGAUUUGGUUUGGCUUUUUACAGAGGCAGGAUUGCCAUUUUGCAUUUUGAGCACCACGAGCCAAGAAACGAUGCAUCUGCACCACACAUCAUUUGGGCCACACUACAGCCAGCACUUGGAGCACCUUUGUUCAUAUACGUAUGAAUACACACAUCAGAAAGUGUAUUCACUGAUUGGAAAUAUCAUUUAGUGCUUUGGCCCAUUGGUCCACUCGACGUAGGUAUUUUGAAUCGGCACUUGUUUCACGGCUACGCUGUGCAUGGAGGCAGGGUGAUUGGAUCACAGAGAGGUGAUCUCGUGCUAACAGGUGGCCAGCAUUUAAUUAAUAACACUGAAAUAAUAACCUAAUUCAAUCACACAUUUAAAUUGCAUUUUAUUAUACUUCUAUGGGGGUGGAACAGUGUGCUUACCACUGUGCCACCGCUGACCCGAUUCUGUUAUUUUACAAUAUAAUAUAAUUAUUAUAAAAGACUGUAUUCAGCAAUCAUUAUUACUGAAUAAUUAUUACUGAAUACUUCUAUCAGUGUUCUCCCAUGUGGUGAAACUUUCUAUAAAUACAUAGAUACACACACGUAUAAUAACACAUAUUAUUCGUAUAUUUUAAGCAUAUGGAGAUAUACGGAGCUAUAAUGCAACAGCAACUUUAUAACUGCUAAUUCAAUUAUGACUGUGUAGCGUGUGUUUCCGUGAGAAUGGUUAUAACCUUUGCUCUAUUUAUGGGCGUCAUUCAUGAUGUGACAUUGCCGCUGGGCUGUUCUGCUGUGGUAUUUGUGGCUUAAUUCGGGAACCCGCGCAUGAUUCGUGACAGCGCGUCUCCAUAAUAUAUGCCUCAUGUGAAACACUUGAAUACUUGCAGGUUUACCACUUGGCCAGCAUCCCUGGCUGGCUGGUCACCCAGUUGAUCACUCAGCCAGCUACUGCAUCAUUUACCCAUCCAGCUACCCAGUCAUUCAGCUAGCCAUUUAAUCCAACCAGCCAGUUGUUUAAUUACUCAACCAGAUGUUUAGCCAACCAGCCACCCAUCCACUGAGCCAGCCAGCAGGCCACUUAGCAAAUUGCACAGCCAGUCAAAUCACUCAGUCAGCCACUCAGUAAACUAUACAGCCACCAGCCAUGUAGCUCACAAUAGGAGUAUUAUUACCGGUGACUGUGAACAAGACAUGUUAGAUGACAUAUCUUCAAUUGCAUAUAGUUUGUAUGAAUGGGAUUGCUGGAUACUAUUCCACCUAUAUAUUUGCAUGUUGAAAUAGCAAUUUUGUAUCAGCAUAUUUAACGUUGUCAUGAAAAAUAGCUAAGUAAUAGAUAGGUAGUGAAACAAAAUGGAACUUAGAGGAGGAAUGCCUUAUGUAUUCUUUGGAUACUCGAAAAUAAGAUUAAAACAAUAUUAACUUCAACAGAAAUAUUUCCACAAUUAUCUACAUUCACACUUAAUGCUUUGUGAUCUCAGCCAGAGUCUGUUUAAGGGAGCACACAGAGAUGACAGGUUGGAGAUCCCAGGAGUAGAUGACACCAGAUGGUUCUUCAACAUUGGAGCUGGUACGGAAAACUAAAAAUAUAAAUAUAUGAACCGUCGAAAAACAAUUUAACACACGUUGCAAGUAUUUUUAUUGUAUUGUAAUGGUUCUCACAUAUCUGACAAAUACUGAUCCUUUAUAUUGCCAAUAUCUUGCCUUAUCAAUGAACAAAGCCCAAUUACUAACUUUUCCCAAUAAGACAUGGGUGAACUCGAAUUACCUAUUCUCCUGCAUCCAGUAGUGGAUUGAGAAAGCAUACAAAGUAUUAUUACAGUAUUCUUAUGUGCGUGUGUGCCUCCACUUUUCGCCCCACAAUGCCCUUUGGUACGGCGUCUUGAGACGCAUUUUGCUUUGAUAAGCCACGCGAAUCCAAACUGCAUUGCAGCUGGAUUAAUUACUAUUAUUAUUAUAAUUUUAGCAGUAUAUCAAUCACGCGGACAGACGGGCGUGCAGCGGUCGCAGGAGACGGACGGGGUGAUGUGGGUUUGCGUGUAUUACGAUUUUUAGCUCCAGGUGAGCGGCAAAGGUGGGUGUGAGGAAACCAGCCACCUGUCACGCCGCACACAGAGCCGCGGGGGUGGCGUCUCGCGAACACGGAGUCUAACCGGGCACGCCUCAUGCUUCAGCGACAUCUGAUGCAAUCGUGCAACAGGAUUGAGCUAUUGCACGAUGCGACAAACCGCCCGUCUCGCUUCGGUAAAUCACCCACCGCAACUGUCACGCUCGGCCCUUCCCAGCUGCCGAAGUGAACCUGGUGACACCGUCUCAUUUCACGUGUUUUUUUUAUUUAUGUAUAUGUUAGUAUCAUCAUCAUCAUCCUCAUCACUAUCAUCACCGUUGUCGUCAUCAUCAUAGUCACCCGGAUUUCUGAUUCACUUCCCCACCAUCGUUUGCGUAGUAAUAAUUGGUCCUCUGUGCUGAAAAGCGUCGAGGACAGUCUCAAGACUCAUUUGAAUGAGGGUCCUGCCAUGUGAUGUUUGGACAAUUUAAUAGUGAGUAUCAUUUAAUCGCGAGUAUCAUCAGUCGUCCAGAGUGCCACUUUGUGGCACAGCAGCAGUUUUUGUCUGGAUAGACUGUCCACCGGCCAUGGGAAUGUGGGAUUUACAUUAUUGGCUCAGGGCCUCCUAUGGUGAUGAUUGCCAACCUUGUUGUGUUUCAGCAAGAAGGCCUCUCGAGCUUUGACUUCAUCACGUGGCAAAGACACCACAGUGCCCAGGGAAACCCCACACACAUGAGGAGAUAGCACUCAGAAGUCCGCAGAGACGCGUCAUACAUCUACUUGCUAUACUGGCAUGUACUGGGCAACUCAUUGGUGUCUCAAGAUAGAUGAUGACCUCUUCAUGAUCCACCAAGCUCUCCUCCAAAGUACCGGAUCGCGGCUGUGCGUCACCAUUGCUGCCUGCGACAGUGACCUUGCUUCUCUAUUAGUCUGUUACAUGACC